This 462-nucleotide long non-coding RNA is filed under the name Homo sapiens (human). RNAcentral's name for it is "HSALNT0343843". The record is from RNAcentral. Lineage: Eukaryota; Metazoa; Chordata; Mammalia; Primates; Hominidae.
CGUGCAUUGCCUGAGGGCCCUGGGCUCUCAGUCUGCAUUGAUUGGAGCUGGGACCGAAGCCCCCAUUCCAGAAACCGGACCAGGAGAUAGGCAAACAAGAAGAAGCCACCCAAUGUGAGAAAGAAAUAAGCAACGGGGGUGAUGUCCGUCUUUAUGCCCAGCAAAGCCAGCCCCAGUAGGAAGGAGGCGCAGCACAGGAGGAGAAGCGGCUUCUCCAGUCUCCCCAGUUCUUCAAUCUCAAAUAAAUCAUCUGUAGAGUCCCCUCCAGUUCCGAAAUUCUCUCUAUGUCUUGGAGUGUGUGGAAUAGCCAGGAAACCAGCCCAGGAGCUUUGACUCCCAGCCAUUCUGCACCUUAAGCAAAAAGGAAGUUAGCCACACAUGGUGGCUCAUGACUGUAGUCUCAGCUACAUGGGAGGCAAGGCGAGAGGAUCUCUUGAGCCCAGGAGUUCGAGGCCAGCCUAG